RNAcentral lists this long non-coding RNA (272 nucleotides) under Malus domestica (apple). Its description in RNAcentral is "long non-coding RNA (MDOM_LNC017544)". Lineage: Eukaryota; Viridiplantae; Streptophyta; Magnoliopsida; Rosales; Rosaceae. The record is from RNAcentral.
ACAUAAACAAAAACAAAAAUAAAGGGAUUAGCAAAGUUGCUAAUCCCCGGCAACGGCGCCAAAAUUUGAUGUGAGAAAUAAGUUAACACACAAAUUAAACCCUCUUUUUGACAAUUGUAGUAUAGAUGUAAGUAGGGUAUCGUUCUAGGCCGGGGAUUAGGAGGGAUUGCUAAUCUAUUCUAAAUUAAUUUAAAAAUAUUAAACAAGACUUAAGGACACAAAAUUAGGCUAAAAACUCUAAUAACUCGAAACACACUUAAAAUGACUCAAAA